CGUUGUCGCGUUCUGAGAUGUC
Molecule: microRNA, 22 nt
Filed under: Anolis carolinensis (green anole)
Lineage: Eukaryota; Metazoa; Chordata; Lepidosauria; Squamata; Anolidae
Description: aca-miR-5410-5p
Source: miRBase by way of RNAcentral